ACGGGUGAGUAACACGUGGGAACGUACCCUUCGGUUCGGAAUAACGCUGGGAAACUAGCGCUAAUACCGGAUACGCCCUUAUGGGGAAAGGUUUACUGCCGAAGGAUCGGCCCGCGUCUGAUUAGCUAGUUGGUGGGGUAAUGGCCUACCAAGGCGACGAUCAGUAGCUGGUCUGAGAGGAUGAUCAGCCACACUGGGACUGAGACACGGCCCAGACUCCUACGGGAGGCAGCAGUGGGGAAUAUUGGACAAUGGGCGCAAGCCUGAUCCAGCCAUGCCGCGUGAGUGAUGAAGGCCUUAGGGUUGUAAAGCUCUUUUGUCCGGGACGAUAAUGACGGUACCGGAAGAAUAAGCCCCGGCUAACUUCGUGCCAGCAGCCGCGGUAAUACGAAGGGGGCUAGCGUUGCUCGGAAUCACUGGGCGUAAAGGGCGCGUAGGCGGCCAUUCAAGUCGGGGGUGAAAGCCUGUGGCUCAACCACAGAAUUGCCUUCGAUACUGUUUGGCUUGAGUAUGGCAGAGGUUAGUGGAACUGCGAGUGUGGAGGUGAAAUUCGUAGA
Molecule: ribosomal RNA, 557 nt
Filed under: uncultured Methylobacterium sp.
Lineage: Bacteria; Pseudomonadati; Pseudomonadota; Alphaproteobacteria; Hyphomicrobiales; Methylobacteriaceae
Description: bacterial SSU rRNA
Rfam family: Bacterial small subunit ribosomal RNA
Source: RNAcentral